CAGCCGCCGCGGUAAUACGUAGGGGGCGAGCGUUGUCCGGAAUUAUUGGGCGUAAAGCGCGCGCAGGCGGUCCUUUAAGUCUGAUGUGAAAGCCCACGGCUCAACCGUGGAGGGUCAUUGGAAACUGGGGGACUUGAGUGCAGGAGAGGAGAGCGGAAUUCCACGUGUAGCGGUGAAAUGCGUAGAGAUGUGGAGGAACACCAGUGGCGAAGGCGGCUCUCUGGCCUGUAACUGACGCUGAGGCGCGAAAGCGUGGGGAGCAAACAGGAUUAGAUAACCUGGUAGUCCACGCCGUAAACGAUGAGUGCUAAGUGUUAGAGGGGUCACACCCUUUAGUGCUGCAGCUAACGCGAUAAGCACUCCGCCUGGGGAGUACGGCCGCAAGGCUGAAACUUAAAGGAAUUGGCGGG
This 410-nucleotide ribosomal RNA is filed under the name uncultured microorganism. RNAcentral describes it as "bacterial SSU rRNA". It matches the Rfam family "Bacterial small subunit ribosomal RNA", at positions 509 to 917 of the family's 1533-position model. The record is from RNAcentral.